AGAGUUUGAUCAUGGCUCAGGACGAACGCUGGCGGCGUGCCUAAUACAUGCAAGUCGAGCGGAUUUACGAGAGCUUGCUCUCGUAAAUUAGCGGCGGACGGGUGAGUAACACGUGGGCAACCUGCCUAUAAGACUGGGAUAACUUCGGGAAACCGGAGCUAAUACCGGAUAACUCACAUCUACUCAUGUAGAUGUGCUGAAAGACGGUUUACGCUGUCACUUAUAGAUGGGCCCGCGGCGCAUUAGCUAGUUGGUGAGGUAACGGCUCACCAAGGCCACGAUGCGUAGCCGACCUGAGAGGGUGAUCGGCCACACUGGGACUGAGACACGGCCCAGACUCCUACGGGAGGCAGCAGUAGGGAAUCUUCCGCAAUGGACGAAAGUCUGACGGAGCAACGCCGCGUGAGUGAUGAAGGUUUUCGGAUCGUAAAACUCUGUUGUUAGGGAAGAAUAAGUACCAGAGUAACUGCUGGUACCUUGACGGUACCUAACCAGAAAGCCACGGCUAACUACGUGCCAGCAGCCGCGGUA
This 531-nucleotide ribosomal RNA is filed under the name uncultured Bacillota bacterium. RNAcentral describes it as "bacterial SSU rRNA". It matches the Rfam family "Bacterial small subunit ribosomal RNA", at positions 8 to 522 of the family's 1533-position model. Lineage: Bacteria; Bacillati; Bacillota. The record is from RNAcentral.